RNAcentral lists this ribosomal RNA (466 nucleotides) under uncultured bacterium. RNAcentral's name for it is "partial 16S ribosomal RNA". It matches the Rfam family "Bacterial small subunit ribosomal RNA", at positions 29 to 507 of the family's 1533-position model. The record is from RNAcentral.
ACGCACGCUGGCGGCGUGCUUAACACCUGCAAGUCGCACGGAAAGGCCCUGCUUUUGUGGGGUGCUCGAGUGGCGAACGGGUGGGUAACACGUGAGUAACCUGCCCUUGACUUUGGGAUAACUUCAGGAAACUGGGGCUAAUACCGGAUAGGAGCUCCUGCUGCAUGGUGGGGGUUGGAAAGUUUCGGCGGUUGGGGAUGGACUCGCGGCUUAUCAGCUUGUUGGUGGGGUAGUGGCUUACCAAGGCUUUGACGGGUAGCCGGCCUGAGAGGGUGACCGGCCACAUGGGACUGGGAAUCCGGCCCGACCUCUACCGGGGGGAAGCGGUGGGAAUUGUGGAAAAUGGGGCGAAGCCCGAUGGCGGAACCCCCACUUGCGGAAUAACGGCCUUCGGGUGGUAAACCGCUUUCGCCUGUGACAAGGCGUAGGUGACGGUAUGGGUAAAGAAGCACCGGCUAACUACGUG